AUGAAGAUUACUACAAUCAUGCAGUUAAUCUUGGGGUUCAUUGUUUGCAACGGACAUGUCAUCAUCUGUGGCUCCCUGUAUGGAAAUGAGACAGACCAAUUGUCACUGCUUGAAUUCAAGAAUGCAAUCACCCUCGAUCCAAAGCAAUCCUUGAUGUCCUGGAAUGACAGUACCCACUUUUGCAAUUGGGAAGGUGUUCAUUGCAGGAUGAAGAAUCCAUACCGUGUCACUUCUCUUAACCUUACAAAUCGAGGUUUAGUCGGGCAAAUCUCUCCUUCACUUGGAAAUCUAACAUUCCUAAAACAUCUACUCCUACCAACAAAUGGGUUUACUGGGACAAUUCCUCCAUCCCUUGGUCAUUUGCAUCGCCUUCAAAACCUCUACCUGAGCAAUAACACACUGCAAGGGAGGAUACCUAGUCUGGCAAACUGUUCCAACCUCAAGGCCCUAUUGCUGGGUAGAAAUCAACUAGUUGGGCAAAUUCCUGCAGACUUGCCUUCUUACCUUCAAGUGCUGCAACUUUCAAUUAACAAUCUUACUGGAAUCAUCCCUGCUUCUCUUGCCAACACCACAUCGCUAAACCAGUUUAACGUUGCGUUUAAUAAUAUUGAGGGCAACAUCCCGAAUGAGAUUGCCAAGUUACCUGCGCUACAUAUUCUGAACGCGGGUAGCAAUCAAUUGACAGGCAGGUUUCAACAAGCCAUUUUGAACCUUUCUACUCUUGUUACCCUUAUCCUUGGUCCAAAUCAUUUAAGUGGUGAGGUACCAUCCAAUAUUGGUAACUCUCUACCCAGUCUCCAACAGUUCGCAUUAGCCGAUAACUUCUUUGAUGAAAAAAUCCCAUCUUCUUUGAUCAACGCAUCCCAGAUACACAUUUUUGAUAUAUCAAAAAAUAAUUUCACAGGUUUGGUGCUUAGGUCCAUUGGCAAACUUUCUGAACUCACAAAGUUAAACCUUGAGUUCAAUAAACUCCAAGCACGUGAUAAGCAAGAUUGGGAGUUUAUGAAUAGCUUAACCAAUUGUACUAAGCUAAAUGCCUUCUCGGUAGAGUGGAAUCAUCUAGAAGGCCACAUACCAAGUUCAUUAUCCAACCUUUCCAUUCAACUUCAACAUCUAUAUUUGGGGCGGAAUCAAUUGGAAGGGGAUUUCCCUUCUGGCAUAGCAAACCUUCCGAACCUGAUUGUUUUAGGAAUGAAUAGCAAUCAAUUUACAGGUGCCAUUCCCCAAUGGCUAGGAACUCUCAAAAAUUUGCAAAUACUAGCUUUAGCUGACAACAUCUUUACAGGGUUUAUUCCAUCCUCCCUUUCCAAUUUAUCUCAAUUGGCAUAUCUCCUUCUAGAAUCGAACCAAUUUGUUGGCAACAUACCACCAAGCUUUGGAAAGCUUCAAAACCUUGCAAUAUUGAACAUGUCCAGCAACAAUCUUCAUGGUUUAGUACCAAAGGAGAUCUUUAGAAUUCCACCACUAAGGGAAAUUUAUUUAUCCUUUAACAACUUUGAUGGACAACUUCCUACCGACAUCGGUAAUGCCAAACAACUCACAAAUCUAGAACUCUCUUCAAAUAGGCUAUCUGGAGAUAUUUCUAGCACUUUGGGUGAGUGUGCAAGUUUGCAAGAUAUAAAGUUGGACUGGAAUGUUUUCAGUGGAAGCAUCCCCACUUCGUUACGCAAAAUAAGUAGCCUAAAAAUUCUCAGUGUCUCUCACAAUAACAUUACUGGGUCAAUUCCAGUGUUUCUUGGCAACCUACAAUACCUCGAGCAACUAGAUUUGUCAUUCAACCAUCUCGCGGGGGAGGUCCCAAAAGAAGGAAUCUUCAAGAAUGUGACUGCUCUGCGGAUUGAAGGAAAUCAUGAGCUUUGUGGUGGGGCUCUGCAGUUACACUUAAUGGCAUGUUCUGUUAUGCCUUCAAAUUCAACAAAGCACAAGCUGUUUGCUGUACUCAAAGUGUUAAUCCCAAUAGCUUGCAUGGUCUCACUUGCUAUGGUCAUACUUCUCUUAUUGUUCUGGAGGGGGAGACAUAAGAGAAAAUCCAUGUCUUCACCAUCAUUUGAAAGAAAUCUUCCCAAAGUUUCUUUCAGUGAUAUUGCUAGAGCAACAGAGGGGUUCUCAACAUCCAGCAUUGGAAGAGGGAGGUAUGGUACUGUGUAUCAAGGAAAACUAUUUCAAGAUGGAAAUUAUGUUGCCAUAAGUGUCUUCAACCUGGAGACAAGGGGAGCACCAAAUAGCUUCAUUGCAGAAUGUAAUGUCUUAAGAAAUGUGCGGCAUCGUAAUCUGGUUCCUAUACUAACCGCAUGCUCAAGCAUUGAUUCUAAUGGCAAUGAUUUCAAAGCUCUAGUGUAUGAGUUCAUGCCUCGAGGAGGCUUGCAUGGACUACUGUACUCAACUCAAGACUAUGAGAGCUCUUUUGAUUUGAUGCAUAUUACAGUAGCUCAAAGGCUAAGCAUUGUUGUGGAUAUAGCAGAUGCACUGGAGUACCUACACCAUAACAACCAAGGAACUAUUGUUCAUUGUGAUAUGAAGCCUAGCAACAUUCUUUUGGAUGACAAUAUGACAGCUCAUGUUGGAGAUUUUGGUCUUGCAAGGUUCGUAGUUGAUUCAACGGUAUCAUCAUCUGAUGACUCAUACUCAGCCUCUUCAAUGGCGAUAAAUGGAACUAUUGGAUAUGUUGCUCCAGAAUGUGCAACAGGUGGUCAUAUUUCAACUGCUAGCGAUGUCUACAGCUUUGGAAUUGUUCUAUUUGAGAUAUUCUUACGGAAGAGGCCGACAGAUGAUAUGUUCAAAGAUGGACUAAACAUUGCGAAAUUCGUUGAAAUGAAUUUUCCUUCCAGGAUAUCAGAAAUUAUUGAACCUGAAGUACUUCAAGAUCAGCCUGAGUUUCCUGAAGAAACUCUAGUAGCCAUGAAGGAAAAUGACCUGGACUGUGUAAUUUCAGUGCUAAACAUUGGGCUCCGCUGCACCAAGCCAUACCCGAACGAGCGCCGCAACAUGCAGGAAGUGGCUGCAGGGCUGCAUGGAAUCAAGGAGGCUUAUCUCAGAGGGUGCUAA
This 3045-nucleotide ribosomal RNA is filed under the name Triticum aestivum (bread wheat). Its description in RNAcentral is "partial small subunit ribosomal RNA". Lineage: Eukaryota; Viridiplantae; Streptophyta; Magnoliopsida; Poales; Poaceae. The record is from RNAcentral.